RNAcentral lists this ribosomal RNA (882 nucleotides) under Scolecobasidium tshawytschae. Its description in RNAcentral is "LSU rRNA". It matches the Rfam family "Eukaryotic large subunit ribosomal RNA", at positions 36 to 938 of the family's 3401-position model. Lineage: Eukaryota; Fungi; Ascomycota; Dothideomycetes; Venturiales; Sympoventuriaceae. The record is from RNAcentral.
UAGCAUAUCAUAGCGGAGGAAAAGAAACCAACCGGGAUUGCCCCAGUAACGGCGAGUGAAGCGGCAACAGCUCAAAUUUGAAAUCUGAGGUCGUUUGGGCCUUCGAGUUGUAGUUUGCAGAGGGAGCCUCGGAGGGCGUGCCGGCCCAAGUGCCUUGGAACAGGAUACCGCAGAGGGUGAGAGUCCCGUAUCCGGCCGGUGGCGCGCUCCGUGUGAGGCCUCUUCGACGAGUCGAGUUGUUUGGGAAUGCAGCUCCAAGCGGGUGGUAAAUUCCAUCUAAAGCUAAAUACUGGCCAGAGACCGAUAGCGAACAAGUAGAGUGAUCGAAAGAUGAAAAGCACUUUGAAAAGAGAGUCAAACAGUACGUGAAAUUGUUGAAAGGGAAGCGCAUGGGGGCAGACUUGGCCGCGGGGUUCAGGGUGCGUUCUCGCGCCUGCACUUCCCCGCGGACAGGCCAGCAUCGGUUCUGGGGGCCGGACAAAGGGGCCGGGAAGGUAGCCGCCUUCGGGCGGUGUUAUAGCCCGGCGCGCAAUGCGGCCACCUGGGACCGAGGACCGCGCUUCGGCAAGGAUGCUGGCGUAAUGGCCUCAUGCGGCCCGUCUUGAAACACGGACCAAGGAGUCUAACAUCUAUGCGAGUGUUUGGGUGGCAAGCCCGGGCGCGCAAUGAAAGUGAACGGAGGUGGGAGCUGUUGUAGGCGCACCAUCGACCGAUCCGGACGUUUUCCGAAGGAUUUGAGUAGGAGCAUAGCUGUUGGGACCCGAAAGAUGGUGAACUAUGCGUGAAUAGGGUGAAGCCAGAGGAAACUCUGGUGGAGGCUCGCAGCGGUUCUGACGUGCAAAUCGAUCGUCAAAUUUGCGUAUAGGGCGAAAGACUAAUCGA